GUGCUCACUUCAGCAGCACAUAUAAUAAAAUUUGAAUGAUACAGAGAUUAGCAUGGCCCCUGAGCAGAGAUAACCAAAUCUGUAAAGCACUGCAUAUUUCU
Small nuclear RNA from Mustela putorius furo (domestic ferret), 101 nucleotides. The record is from Ensembl. NCBI's taxonomy places the organism in Eukaryota, Metazoa, Chordata, Mammalia, Carnivora, Mustelidae.